CCUAACGGAAAGGGAAUGUACCAAAAGCCGGAUCUGACCGGAAGUGAUUGAGUGAGCGGUUUGUUUGGAAAAUCCUGAACGGAGCGAGUAGUGUUGUGAAGUUUAUAUGGAGUUGUAUGAUGUUUUGCCUGUUUUGUGGAAACCAUUUCAGCCUGUUACCGCGGUUUUGCAUUUCGUGUGGACGGUCUCUGGAGUUUUUAAAAGACACGGACCAGACGGAAGGACCAAGCGCACAGGGAACAGCUAAACAGCCGGAAAAUGCUAAACAAACAGAACAACCAUGCCCAUCAUAUAAACAGUUCAUGGAGUACAGAAGCACCAAGUCCAAAGAACGGCAGUGUUUUAACUGUGGAAGAAAGAAAAACAUAAACAAGAAAAGAAAAACGUCCAGAUAAACAUAGGAUUGAUGGUGCCACAUGGAACUGAUUUAAAACCUUUAAGAGGGAAAACACUCCCAUUAUUUACAGACCCAGAAGUAGCAGCACCUGAUCUGCUGAAACAAGCCGUGCAGAAAAUGACGACAUUUAAUAAGGACAUGGAUGAAGGACCAUACGUCCUUUUGUAUCCUGACUGCUCAGAGGUGGUCCAUGUGCCUGGGACAGAAAGGCCAUUCAAAUUGACUGAAUAUAAAAAGGAAAUUGGGAAGGCAUAUUCCAGGAUCACUUUUUUCCUUUGCCUAGAAACACACUUUAAAGGAGUGGAUGAUACCCCAGACUCUGAUUCCUCAGAUUCUGAAAUUGUGAUCACAUCCAGGAGCAUAGCUCAAUUCAAUCGGGCUGACACUGUGGUGUUUGAACCACAAAACCAAAGUACACCCAAAUGCAAACCUUAAGAUGAAGGAGAUGCUCCUGGGAAUUCAAGCACAGUUCAACCUGGACAGAUAGUAAUAUCUGAUCAUGAGGAUCUGGAGCCACAUGAAACAAAUGCACCCAGGACUACUUGCUACAGUAAAUACACAGACCUGUAUGCACCAUGUGUUGACGAAGAGGAUGAGGAGUUGGCUGCAGAAAAUAUGAAGAGUUUACAACACACACCAAUCGAGGAGAUGAACAUUACACUACCUGACAUUAUUGCCAACCUAUCACAUCCCAUUGAUCAUGAAGAGUCAGCAGGUUCAACAUCUCAAGGGCUAAUGUUUGGGAUGGAGCAGUCAGAGGUUUCAAGCGCACAACAUACUCUGAAACCUGUGACAUGCUGGUCAAAUUUACUGAUGAUGCUGGUGUAUUAGAAGAAGGAAUUGACAGAGGUGGUCCAAGGCGAGAGUUUUUAACUCUGCUAAUGAAACAUCUGAAAGACCGGCCCAUUUUUGAUGGACCAGAAGGACAUUGGUUCUUGGUCUACAAUGCAAAUGAUUCAAAGAUGGUCUUUCAGCGCUUCAGUUUCUCACUGCACUACAGCAACACCCUGCUUUGCUGUCCCCUGUCCUGACCCACUCAGAAAAGGGGCUAACUGCUCUUGAACUUGAGAGACUCUUCAAACCUGACCUCAGUCCACCAGGGAGUAACAGGAGACUUAAAGAAAGUGAAACUUUUGGCUACUGGGCAGACUAUCUCCUUGACUGUGAAGAAGGUCAGGCUGCUGUAUCUGUGGAAGACGUUUUCAUGUUUGCAACUGGACUGACUUCACUUCCCCCAUCUGGAUUGGAACCAUCACCAAGAGUUCCUGGAUGACUCUCCAUUCCCAAUGGCAAAAACAUGUUCAAACACAUUGAAAUUACCACUCUUAGACACUUACACUGUGUUUAAGACACAAAUGGACUUUGGACUUCAAAAUUCCCCAGGA
Molecule: long non-coding RNA, 1782 nt
Organism: Mugil cephalus (flathead mullet)
Lineage: Eukaryota; Metazoa; Chordata; Actinopteri; Mugiliformes; Mugilidae
Exons: 11
Source: RefSeq, a predicted model, not a curated record